This 1627-nucleotide unclassified non-coding RNA is filed under the name Hevea brasiliensis (rubber tree). The record is from RNAcentral. Lineage: Eukaryota; Viridiplantae; Streptophyta; Magnoliopsida; Malpighiales; Euphorbiaceae.
GCCAAAGAUAAGCAGAUUUCCAACCAUAAUUCUAUACGUAUGUAACUUCUGCUCCUCUUCAAUUACAACUGUGUGAGAGAGGAGAAGAGGAUUGUCCAAUAUAAACUAUAAAUUCUGUAAAUAGCACUCCAUAAUCUGUACUUUACAAUUUACAAUGCAAAAAUGGCUAGUAAUUUUUCUUUUUCCUAGUGUGUUGAGUGUUGUAUGAGGAAUGAUCCAUCAAAAGACAAGAUGCCUGUUGCCCCACCCGUUGUAUUUAUCUACAUGUAGUGGUCAGAAGUCAUCUGUUUUUCCUCUUCCAUCAUCUUCCAUAUGGUUAAGAGGUUGCAGCACUUUCAUCUAUUAUUAUUUCCUACUAAAACCAUUUAAAUGUCAGCAAACCAGCAUUUAGUUCUAGUGCUCUGUUUAGGGCAUUUAUCAGGCUGUCUCACUAUAUAGAUCUGAUCACCAAUUUUCCCAUCAGAGUCUUGAUUCCGGUGCCAUGUCCAUAAAGCCCAAGUCUCAUUCUUCACCUCCAGAAUUCCAUGGCCAAAGCUACUUUCACGGAAAGCACUGUAAUCAGGUUGUCCAUCCCAACAGAAUUUACCGGCUGCUGGGCCUGUUGUGAAGUUAAUUGCACAAAAGCCACCCAUGUAAGGAUCAGGAGUAGUUGAUGGCUCUGGACAAUUGCCAGGCUCAUCAACAUGUUCAAUAGCCAUCUUCUCUCGGUUACCCCCAUCUCCAACUGUGAUAUACACAGGGCCACAUGGAUCCAAUGUGUAGUUAUAAACUCGAUUCGACCUCUCAUAUGCAUGAACAUGUCCAUUGAAGACUAUAUCAACACCAUAUGAGUAAAGCAAUUCUUCCAUUGCCACCCUCAUACACUCUGCCUCUCUAUAGUGGGCUUUGUAAGAACUAUACCAAGGUGGAUGCCAUGCAGCUACUAGCCAUGGAGUUCUAGAUCUGUCAACAUUAGCCAAGUCUAUCUCCAGCCACUUAUAUUGAUCAUCUGUGAGAGAAACACAGACCUACACAUAAUUUGAUGCAUAUAAUAAAAGCUUCUUUAAAGUUUUUGCGUCCAGUGUGCUUCUUCUCAUGAAUGCCUUACUCGCUUCCACACAUCUUAUUCGAAAAACUAAAGCUAAAAGGCUACUCCUGCAUACUUAUGUAAUACAUUCAAAUGAAGGUUAUCCCUUCACCAGUUCAAACAGUAAUCCAUUUGUGCGCAUGCAUAUUUGGGCCCAGGUCAAUUGCUACUGUUUGGACCAAAAAAAUUUGCUCCAAGCACCAUUUGCAAAGUCAUUUUUUUGUAGUUCUUAAUCAAAGUCCAUUGAGCUUUAAAUUACUUUUAACCACUUAUAAUUUGAUUUUAAAUUAGUCCACAAAUGAUCUUUAUUUAAGAUCAAUAUUAUGAUUUGGAACCACGAAGAACCAUCCAAGUGCACUCAAGGACUGAAGGUAACAACAGAACACCAUUGAGUGUGAUGCAUGAUGGCAGCAUAAAAAAGUCGUUUUACCUGAUUUGUUAUAAGCAAUGUAUGCUCCAAGCAUAAUGAAAUGUAUCCCACCAGCAUUGAAAGAGUAGUAGAAUGUUGAAGAAGAUCCACUUUCUUCUGAUGGGAAUGCAAAUCGAGAACUGUAAGCAACA